ACGUCAAACAUUCGCGUCUCGCUUCGAUGUCGGAUUUUUCAUACGCGUAUUUCCAUAGCUUUAGUGAAAUUUAAACAAACACAAAUCGAACAACCACUCUUUCCGCCCGCAUUGUGAUAAAAGUACAAGGAAGCGGCGUUAAUUGAAAUUGCAUUGUGUAUUAAUAAAAAAAUAUAAGAUUGAAAUCUCUCCUUAAAGGGCGCGAGGUGCGGCAAUUUAGCGGCCGAACAGUUGCCAUUGUGUUAGUGCGUUUAUAUGUGCGUCUGCUGCUUUGACUGCUACCAGUGACCGUUGUCUGCAGCUUGUCGGUCGCCGUACUCGUACUUUAGCACUUUAGGGCGGUGAACGAAAAAUCGAUUGUGGCGCUGACUGUUAGCCUUUUAGUUUGUCAGCCCAACUGUUACUAUUGUCCGUCUGUAAGUGCAUCUGCCUCUCGAACAGGCCUCUUCUAGCGGUUUCUGUGCCUAUUUUUCAAUCAUAACGAAAGGUGUGUAAACUUGUGACAAUAAAAAACGCGACAAAGUGAAAAAAACAUGCGAAAAAAUAAUAUAUAACACGCUGUAGUGCUAAAAAAAACUCAAUGCUUAUCGCUGUUGCUGAGAUCGAAUGCGGAAAGCGUUUUUUUUUAUCUUUCAGCCCGAAAAAAACGUCAUAGCUGUCAAGAUACUGGACAUUCUUAUAUUUGAUAAGAACUGUCAACAAUGUCAAGCUCAUGAACACAUAAACAACAGUUGCAACGUUCCACGUAGAAAUCAAAACAAAUUAUUGUCCAAACAUUUCAGCGCACACAACGUACCGGCAUCUCGGCGAGACAAGCAAAACAAACACAAUCAUGAAAUUCUAGCAAAAAACUUAUUGGAAAACUGCACAAAAUUGAUUGGUGCAUAGCGAUCAAAUAGCAAUAAAAAUCACAGAAAAAAUCAACAAAUGUAAUAAAUACAUAUUUCGAUAAAAAAAAAACACUGAUUGUGUCAGCUCUAGCGAUAAGAGAGAUUUGCAAGGCGAAGAUUUAACGCAGCCUAGGCUAGAGUUUGCACACACACGCAGCGCGAAUGUGACGUGAUUUCUUCGUUUGGACAGCAAACAAAAAUUAUCAGCAGGCACAAAUCUAAAUAAAUCUGAAAGACGACAUUUUUUUGUUUAAGCAAAAGGAACAUACAAAUUAAAUAUAACUAAAAAAGUCAACAACACUAACGCACGUAAGCCUAUUAAGCACGUAACGAUCGCACCAAAACCAAAAUUAGCAACUAAGAGGAAAAGUAAACAAAAAUCGAACUCAAAAAUAUUAUAUAUGUAAAUAUAUAUAUAUAUAUACUUAUUUAAAAAUACAACGCCAGAAUAUCUUAACUGCAAGCACUUGAAACUUAAGCGAAAAUAACUUAAAUCCCUAACUCAAUUUACAAGCAAACAAAAAUAUAAAUAAGUAA
This is a long non-coding RNA of Bactrocera tryoni, 1427 nucleotides long. RefSeq lists it as uncharacterized. The transcript has 2 exons. NCBI's taxonomy places the organism in Eukaryota, Metazoa, Arthropoda, Insecta, Diptera, Tephritidae. The record is from RefSeq and is a predicted model, not a curated record.